UUAAGUUAGAAAGGGCGCACGGUGGAUGCCUUGACACUAGGAGUCGAUGAAGGACGGGACUAACGCCGAUAUGCUUCGGGGAGCUGUAAGUAAGCUUUGAUCCGAAGAUUUCCGAAUGGGGAAACCCACCAUACGUAAUGGUAUGGUAUCCUUAUCUGAAUACAUAGGGUAAGGAAGACAGACCCAGGGAACUGAAACAUCUAAGUACCUGGAGGAAGAGAAAGCAAAUGCGAUUUCCUGAGUAGCGGCGAGCGAAACGGAACAUAGCCCAAACCAAGAGGCUUGCCUCUUGGGGUUGUAGGACAUUCUAUACGGAGUUACAAAGGAACGAGGUAGACGAAGCGACCUGGAAAGGUCCGUCGUAGAGGGUAACAACCCCGUAGUCGAAACUUCGUUCUCUCUUGAAUGUAUCCUGAGUACGGCGGAACACGUGAAAUUCCGUCGGAAUCUGGGAGGACCAUCUCCUAAGGCUAAAUACUCCCUAGUGAUCGAUAGUGAACCAGUACCGUGAGGGAAAGGUGAAAAGCACCCCGGAAGGGGAGUGAAAGAGAUCCUGAAACCGUGUGCCUACAAAUAGUCAGAGCCCGUUAACGGGUGAUGGCGUGCCUUUUGUAGAAUGAACCGGCGAGUUACGAUCCCGUGCGAGGUUAAGCUGAAGAGGCGGAGCCGCAGCGAAAGCGAGUCUGAAUAGGGCGUUUAGUACGUGGUCGUAGACCCGAAACCAGGUGAUCUACCCAUGUCCAGGGUGAAGUUCAGGUAACACUGAAUGGAGGCCCGAACCCACGCACGUUGAAAAGUGCGGGGAUGAGGUGUGGGUAGCGGAGAAAUUCCAAUCGAACCUGGAGAUAGCUGGUUCUCCCCGAAAUAGCUUUAGGGCUAGCCUUAAGUGUAAGAGUCUUGGAGGUAGAGCACUGAUUGGACUAGGGGUCCUCAUCGGAUUACCGAAUUCAGUCAAACUCCGAAUGCCAAUGACUUAUCCUUAGGAGUCAGACUGCGAGUGAUAAGAUCCGUAGUCAAAAGGGAAACAGCCCAGACCGCCAGCUAAGGUCCCAAAGUGUGUAUUAAGUGGAAAAGGAUGUGGAGUUGCUUAGACAACUAGGAUGUUGGCUUAGAAGCAGCCACCAUUUAAAGAGUGCGUAAUAGCUCACUAGUCGAGUGACUCUGCGCCGAAAAUGUACCGGGGCUAAAUACACCACCGAAGCUGCGGAUUGAUACCAAUGGUAUCAGUGGUAGGGGAGCGUUCUAAGGACAGUGAAGUCAGACCGGAAGGACUGGUGGAGUGCUUAGAAGUGAGAAUGCCGGUAUGAGUAGCGAAAGACGGGUGAGAAUCCCGUCCACCGAAUGCCUAAGGUUUCCUGAGGAAGGCUCGUCCGCUCAGGGUUAGUCAGGACCUAAGCCGAGGCCGACAGGCGUAGGCGGUGGACAACAGGUUGAUAUUCCUGUACCACCUCUUUAUCGUUUGAGCAAUGGAGGGACGCAGAAGGAUAGAAGAAGCGUGCGAUUGGUUGUGCACGUCCAAGCAGUUAGGCUGAUAAGUAGGCAAAUCCGCUUAUCGUGAAGGCUGAGCUGUGAUGGGGAAGCUCCUUAUGGAGCGAAGUCUUUGAUUCCCCGCUGCCAAGAAAAGCUUCUAGCGAGAUAAAAGGUGCCUGUACCGCAAACCGACACAGGUAGGCGAGGAGAGAAUCCUAAGGUGUGCGAGAGAACUCUGGUUAAGGAACUCGGCAAAAUGACCCCGUAACUUCGGGAGAAGGGGUGCUUUCUUAACGGAAAGCCGCAGUGAAUAGGCCCAAGCGACUGUUUAGCAAAAACACAGCUCUCUGCGAAGCCGUAAGGCGAAGUAUAGGGGGUGACACCUGCCCGGUGCUGGAAGGUUAAGGAGAGGGGUUAGCGUAAGCGAAGCUCUGAACUGAAGCCCCAGUAAACGGCGGCCGUAACUAUAACGGUCCUAAGGUAGCGAAAUUCCUUGUCGGGUAAGUUCCGACCCGCACGAAAGGUGUAACGAUUUGGGCACUGUCUCAACCAGAGACUCGGUGAAAUUAUAGUACCUGUGAAGAUGCAGGUUACCCGCGACAGGACGGAAAGACCCCGUGGAGCUUUACUGUAGCCUGAUAUUGAAUUUUGGUACAGUUUGUACAGGAUAGGCGGGAGCCUUUGAAACCGGAGCGCUAGCUUCGGUGGAGGCGCUGGUGGGAUACCGCCCUGACUGUAUUGAAAUUCUAACCUACGGGUCUUAUCGACCCGGGAGACAGUGUCAGGUGGGCAGUUUGACUGGGGCGGUCGCCUCCUAAAGUGUAACGGAGGCGCCCAAAGGUUCCCUCAGAAUGGUUGGAAAUCAUUCGUAGAGUGCAAAGGCAUAAGGGAGCUUGACUGCGAGACCUACAAGUCGAGCAGGGACGAAAGUCGGGCUUAGUGAUCCGGUGGUUCCGCAUGGAAGGGCCAUCGCUCAACGGAUAAAAGCUACCCCGGGGAUAACAGGCUUAUCUCCCCCAAGAGUCCACAUCGACGGGGAGGUUUGGCACCUCGAUGUCGGCUCAUCGCAUCCUGGGGCUGUAGUCGGUCCCAAGGGUUGGGCUGUUCGCCCAUUAAAGCGGUACGCGAGCUGGGUUCAGAACGUCGUGAGACAGUUCGGUCCCUAUCCGUCGUGGGCGUAGGAAAUUUGAGAGGAGCUGUCCUUAGUACGAGAGGACCGGGAUGGACGCACCGCUGGUGUACCAGUUGUUCUGCCAAGGGCAUAGCUGGGUAGCUAUGUGCGGAAGGGAUAAGUGCUGAAAGCAUCUAAGCAUGAAGCCCCCCUCAAGAUGAGAUUUCCCAUAGCGUAAGCUAGUAAGAUCCCUGAAAGAUGAUCAGGUUGAUAGGUUCGAGGUGGAAGCAUGGUGACAUGUGGAGCUGACGAAUACUAAUAGAUCGAGGACUUAACCAU
This 2920-nucleotide ribosomal RNA is filed under the name Bacillus cereus 03BB102. Its description in RNAcentral is "bacterial LSU rRNA". It matches the Rfam family "Bacterial large subunit ribosomal RNA". The record is from RNAcentral. Lineage: Bacteria; Bacillati; Bacillota; Bacilli; Caryophanales; Bacillaceae.